This 657-nucleotide ribosomal RNA is filed under the name Salmonella enterica subsp. enterica serovar Infantis. Its description in RNAcentral is "partial 23S ribosomal RNA". It matches the Rfam family "Bacterial large subunit ribosomal RNA", at positions 2146 to 2802 of the family's 2925-position model. Lineage: Bacteria; Pseudomonadati; Pseudomonadota; Gammaproteobacteria; Enterobacterales; Enterobacteriaceae. RNAcentral also lists the same sequence under 2 other names. The record is from RNAcentral.
GGUGGGAGGCUUUGAAGCGUGGACGCCAGUCUGCGUGGAGCCGACCUUGAAAUACCACCCUUUAAUGUUUGAUGUUCUAACGUGGAUCCGUAAUCCGGGUUGCGGACAGUGUCUGGUGGGUAGUUUGACUGGGGCGGUCUCCUCCUAAAGAGUAACGGAGGAGCACGAAGGUUGGCUAAUCCUGGUCGGACAUCAGGAGGUUAGUGCAAUGGCAUAAGCCAGCUUGACUGCGAGCGUGACGGCGCGAGCAGGUGCGAAAGCAGGUCAUAGUGAUCCGGUGGUUCUGAAUGGAAGGGCCAUCGCUCAACGGAUAAAAGGUACUCCGGGGAUAACAGGCUGAUACCGCCCAAGAGUUCAUAUCGACGGCGGUGUUUGGCACCUCGAUGUCGGCUCAUCACAUCCUGGGGCUGAAGUAGGUCCCAAGGGUAUGGCUGUUCGCCAUUUAAAGUGGUACGCGAGCUGGGUUUAGAACGUCGUGAGACAGUUCGGUCCCUAUCUGCCGUGGGCGCUGGAGAACUGAGGGGGGCUGCUCCUAGUACGAGAGGACCGGAGUGGACGCAUCACUGGUGUUCGGGUUGUCAUGCCAAUGGCACUGCCCGGUAGCUAAAUGCGGAAGAGAUAAGUGCUGAAAGCAUCUAAGCACGAAACUUGCCCCGA